GGUGAGGCGAGCGAUCUCCUCCGGCGGGGGCGAGGGGUGCCUCCUGCCCGCUGGCCGCCCGGGGCUGGCGGGACGGGAAGCUGCGAAGCGGCCGCGCCGGAGAGUUCCCUGAGAGCCGGUAGAAGGGAAGAGGGGACGGAGGCGGGCACCCCCCAGGCGCGGCCACCGGGCGCCUCCCCGACUCGCCAGAGCUCCCCCGGCCCCGCUCGGCUGCUCCCAGCUCCAGCCCCUCCCCUGAAGCCUGUGCUGUAGCCGCAGGCAGCCCCCGAGCCCUUUUGUGAGGGCAGCAAGCCGGCCCUCUGAUGUUCUCUAGUCUCCCUUAACGUGGGUGCCGUUAGCAGCGGUGCAGGGAAUGAGUGGUGUCUGCGGAAGCCCCUGAGGAAGGAGGGGCUCCGGCCAGGGUCAAGCUACGGUAAUAACGGUCACUGCUGCCUCUUUCCCUCUCCCAGAGGCCAGGCUGUGGAUGCGGUUGUCUGUUCGUCCCCUGGGGAUGCCGUUGACUGCAGCAGCCUCAGGCUUGCGUGGGCUGUCUCUGCCUGGUCUCCCUCUCCUCGCAGCGUGGGAGCAAAAAGGGACAGGCAGAGCACUUAGCAGCUGUGGACAGGAGCUGCUGAAGCUGGAGAGGCCACAGAAAGCUAAAGAAGAAGAAAUGGAAGGCUGUCUGGCCGGCAGCUGCCUCCCGCUGCAGGCAAGAGAGAGCCUGCCUCUCUAGUUGUGGAAGGAUCCCUCUUUGUAGUCCACAGCAGGUGGAGGACAGCCAAGCGACUGGAGUUACAGAAGAGGAAGGGAGGAGAGAAGGAGAAAGAAGCAUCUGAACUGACAAAGUCUCCUGGCAGCUCCAGUAGUGAGAACUGCAGUGGAUGUCAGCUGGCACCAUUUCACCGUGGUUGCCCUUUCUUCUGCCAUGACGGUACAAGACAGAUGAAAAGAAUCCAUAGGGUCUGCAAGUACAAUGUACGCCUAUGAUGUGUGUCUGCAUUUUUCCAAAGGUUUUCCCAGGAAGCAUUAGCAGCCUUGUAACUAGUGACAGCAAGUCCUGAGGUGAUUUUGGUAAGUUACUGCUUCAGUAAUGUAUUUUUAUUGGAUGUAUAUAAAUGUGGGCACACCUUUUUAGUAUAAAGUGAAUUAUUGAGAUUUAUUCUUUAUUUUUCAUUUUGCUCUUUGAAGUUUUCCACUUCACUUUCAGCUUUAUUCACCAAACAAGCAAGAUGCAAAGCAGCAGCGCGAGGGCUGUAGCUGUUGUGGUGGAUCCAUAAGGAUAGAUUCUGAUUGUGUAUGACCUUGUCCCGCAGCCUCCCAGGCUUAUCUCCCUGCAGCAGUGCUGUAAGGAAGGGAGGAGACGUUUUCCAACACCGGCAAGAGUGUUUACUUGUAUGCUAAGAAGGUGUUCAAAAUCAUAUCAAUUAGCCUAAAUGCUGAUUUUAAGAGUUCAAAUCGCUCUAACUUUUAAAGGAGGUGUUGUAUUUCAAGCUGACCUGUUUACCUGCAAUCCUCCUUUAGCUCAACUACUUUUCUUGUGCACCCCCAGCCUCUGCUGGCAGGGCAGUAUGAGAAGCUGGAAAGUGCUUGACUUAGUAUAAACACUGCUUAGCAACAACUAAAAAC
Molecule: long non-coding RNA, 1605 nt
Organism: Aquila chrysaetos chrysaetos
Lineage: Eukaryota; Metazoa; Chordata; Aves; Accipitriformes; Accipitridae
Exons: 5
Source: RefSeq, a predicted model, not a curated record